This 435-nucleotide ribosomal RNA is filed under the name uncultured bacterium. RNAcentral's name for it is "bacterial SSU rRNA". It matches the Rfam family "Bacterial small subunit ribosomal RNA", at positions 84 to 507 of the family's 1533-position model. The record is from RNAcentral.
CAUUUGAGUGAGUGGCGGACGGGUGAGUAACACGUGGGUAACCUGCCCUAAAGUGGGGAUAACAUUUGGAAACAGAUGCUAAUACCGCAUAAAACCUAACACCGCAUGGUGUAGGGUUGAAAGAUGGUUUCGGCUAUCACUUUAGGAUGGACCCGCGGUGCAUUAGUUAGUUGGUGAGGUAAAGGCUCACCAAGACCGUGAUGCAUAGCCGACCUGAGAGGGUAAUCGGCCACACUGGGACUGAGACACGGCCCAGACUCCUACGGGAGGCAGCAGUAGGGAAUCUUCCACAAUGGACGAAAGUCUGAUGGAGCAACGCCGCGUGAGUGAAGAAGGUUUUCGGAUCGUAAACUCUGUUGUUGGAGAAGAAUGUAUCUGAUAGUAACUGAUCAGGUAGUGACGGUAUCCAACCAGAAAGCCACGGCUAACUACGUG